Molecule: ribosomal RNA, 495 nt
Filed under: uncultured bacterium
Lineage: Bacteria
Description: partial 16S ribosomal RNA
Rfam family: Bacterial small subunit ribosomal RNA
Source: RNAcentral
GACGAACGCUGGCGGCGUGCCUAAUACAUGCAGGUAGAACGCUGAAGGAGGAGCUUGCUUCUCUGGAUGAGUUGCGAACGGGUGAGUAACGCGUAGGUAACCUGCCUGGUAGCGGGGGAUAACUAUUGGAAACGAUAGCUAAUACCGCAUAAUAUUGACUAUUGCAUGAUAGUCAGUUGAAAGGUGCAACUGCACCACUACCAGAUGGACCUGCGUUGUAUUAGCUAGUUGGUGGGGUAACGGCUCACCAAGGCGACGAUACAUAGCCGACCUGAGAGGGUGAUCGGCCACACUGGGACUGAGACACGGCCCAGACUCCUACGGGAGGCAGCAGUAGGGGAUCUUCGGCAAUGGACGGAAGUCUGACCGAGCAACGCCGCGUGAGUGAAGAAGGUUUUCGGAUCGUAAAGCUCUGUUGUAAGAGAAGAACGAGUGUGAGAGUGGAAAGCUCACACUGUGACGGUAUCUUACCAGAAAGGGACGGCUAACUACGUG